UCUCUCAAACACUGACAUAAGAGCUUAUGCUAUUUAAAAAACUCAAAUAAACUCUUUCAAACGGUGCAUAAAUACUUAAGGAGUCUAGUUAUUUAGCAAUUAUGCUUAAACCAUGUUGGUAUCAACAUCUUUGGUUUGUGCAUUCAUUUGUACAACUUUCCGACCACCCAAUAUCAAUUUAGCACUCAUUUAAGUAAUAAUAAACAUUUAUCGUUUACACAUAUUUUUCCUGCGUGUGUUUUUUUUUUUUUGGUCAAUAAUCAAAUUCAUUGAUUUAAACGGGCCAAGGCCCAAGCAAAUACAACAAAGAAACUGGACCAUACAAGGCCAUAA
Molecule: long non-coding RNA, 333 nt
Filed under: Lotus japonicus
Lineage: Eukaryota; Viridiplantae; Streptophyta; Magnoliopsida; Fabales; Fabaceae
Description: long non-coding RNA (LJAP_LNC000659)
Source: RNAcentral